Molecule: unclassified non-coding RNA, 253 nt
Filed under: uncultured delta proteobacterium
Lineage: Bacteria; Deltaproteobacteria
Description: contains 16S-23S intergenic spacer region
Rfam family: Bacterial small subunit ribosomal RNA
Source: RNAcentral
UACGGAGGGUGCAAGCGUUAAUCGGAAUUACUGGGCGUAAAGCGCAUGUAGGCGGCUUUGUAAGUCUGGUGUGAAAUCCCUGAACUCAAUUCAGGAAGUGCAUUGGAUACUGCAAGGCUAGCGUACAGGAGAGGUGGAUGGAAUUCCUGGUGUAGAGGUGAAAUUCGUAGAUAUCAGGAGGAACAACAGAGGCGAAGGCGAUUCACUGGACUGUAACUGACGCUGAGAUGCGAAAGUGUGGGGAGCAAACAGG